GUUGAACGCUGGCGGCAGGCCUAACACAUGCAAGUCGAGCGGAUGAAGGGAGCUUGCUCCUGGAUUCAGCGGCGGACGGGUGAGUAAUGCCUAGGAAUCUGCCUGGUAUUGGGGGAUAACGUCCGGAAACGGGCGCUAAUACCGCAUACGUCCCGAGGGUGAAAGUGGGGGAUCUUCGGACCUCACGCUAUCUGAUGAGCCUAGGUCGGAUUAGCUAGUUGGUGGGGUAAAGGCCUACCAAGGCGACGAUCCGUAACUGGUCUGAGAGGAUGAUCAGUCACACUGGAACUGAGACACGGUCCAGACUCCUACGGGAGGCAGCAGUGGGGAAUAUUGGACAAUGGGCGAAAGCCUGAUCCAGCCAUGCCGCGUGUGUGAAGAAGGUCUUCGGAUUGUAAAGCACUUUAAGUUGGGAGGAAGGGCAGUAAGUUAAUACCUUGCUGUUUUGACGUUACCAACAGAAUAAGCAACGGCUAACUUCGUG
This 484-nucleotide ribosomal RNA is filed under the name uncultured bacterium. Its description in RNAcentral is "partial 16S ribosomal RNA". It matches the Rfam family "Bacterial small subunit ribosomal RNA", at positions 28 to 507 of the family's 1533-position model. The record is from RNAcentral.